RNAcentral lists this ribosomal RNA (253 nucleotides) under uncultured bacterium. RNAcentral's name for it is "partial 16S ribosomal RNA". It matches the Rfam family "Bacterial small subunit ribosomal RNA", at positions 524 to 776 of the family's 1533-position model. The record is from RNAcentral.
UACGUAGGGGGCAAGCGUUGUCCGGAUUUAUUGGGCGUAAAGCGCUCGCAGGUGGUUCGAUGCGUCGUGCGUGAAAGACCCCGGCUCAACUGGGGAGGGUCGUGCGAUACGGGCGGACUGGAGGCCAGUAGGGGGAUGCGGAAUUCCGGGUGUAGUGGUGGAAUGCGUAGAGAUCCGGAGGAACACCAGCGGCGAAGGCGGCAUCCUGGACUGGUCCUGACGCUCAGGAGCGAAAGCGUGGGGAGCGAACAGG